Molecule: ribosomal RNA, 434 nt
Filed under: uncultured Anaerovorax sp.
Lineage: Bacteria; Bacillati; Bacillota; Clostridia; Peptostreptococcales; Anaerovoracaceae
Description: partial 16S ribosomal RNA
Rfam family: Bacterial small subunit ribosomal RNA
Source: RNAcentral
ACGGGAGGCAGCAGUGGGGAAUAUUGCACAAUGGGGGAAACCCUGAUGCAGCGACGCCGCGUGAGCGAUUGAAGUAUUUCGGUAUGUAAAGCUCUAUCAGCAGGGAAGAAAAUGACGGUACCUGACUAAGAAGCCCCGGCUAACUACGUGCCAGCAGCCGCGGUAAUACGUAGGGGGCGAGCGUUAUCCGGAAUUAUUGGGCGUAAAGAGUACGUAGGUGGCUGCGUAAGCGAGAGGUGAAAGCCCGGGGCUUAACUCCGGCGAGCCUUUCGAACUGCGUGGCUUGAGUGCAGGAGGGGAAAGUGGAAUUCCUAGUGUAGCGGUGAAAUGCGUAGAUAUUAGGAGGAACACCAGUGGCGAAGGCGACUUUCUGGACUGUAACUGACACUGAGGUACGAAAGCGUGGGGAGCAAACAGGAUUAGAUACCCUGGUA